GACGAACGCUGGCGGCGUGCCUAACACAUGCAAGUCGAGCGGAGACAUUAAGGAGCUUGCUCUGAGAUGUUUUAGCGGCGGACGGGUGAGUAACGCGUGAGCAACCUUUCUCUCAGUGGGGAAUAACACAGGGAAACUUGUACUAAUACCGCAUGAGACCACAGAGCUGCAUGGCUUAGGGGUCAAAGAUUAAUCGCUGAGAGGUGGGCUCGCGUCUGAUUAGGUAGUUGGUGAGGUAACGGCCCACCAAGCCGACGAUCAGUAGCCGACCUGAGAGGGUGAUCGGCCACAUUGGGACUGAGACACGGCCCAAACUCCUACGGGAGGCAGCAGUGGGGAAUAUUGGGCAAUGGGGGAAACCCUGACCCAGCAACGCCGCGUGGAGGAAGAAGGUUUUCGGAUCGUAAACUCCUGUCCUCAGGGAAGAGCAGAAGACGGUACCUGAGGAGGAAGCCCCGGCUAACUACGUG
This 470-nucleotide ribosomal RNA is filed under the name uncultured bacterium. RNAcentral describes it as "bacterial SSU rRNA". It matches the Rfam family "Bacterial small subunit ribosomal RNA", at positions 28 to 507 of the family's 1533-position model. The record is from RNAcentral.